GUCGAGAAUAAUUCACAAUGGGGGCAACCCUGAUGGUGCAACGCCGCGUGGAGGAUGAAGGUCUUCGGAUUGUAAACUCCUGUCAUCCGGGAGCAAGACCUGGCCGUGAAUAGCGGACAGGGUUGAUAGUACCGGAAGAGGAAGGGACGGCUAACUUCGUGCCAGCAGCCGCGGUAAUACGAAGGUCCCGAGCGUUGUUCGGAAUCACUGGGCGUAAAGGGAGCGUAGGCGGCGCGGUAAGUCAGAUGUGAAAUCCUAGGGCUCAACCCUGGAACUGCAUCCGAUACUGCUGUGCUUGAGCAAUGGAGAGGUAGCCGGAAUUCUCGGUGUAGCAGUGAAAUGCGUAGAUAUCGAGAGGAACACUCGUGGCGAAAGCGGGCUACUGGACAUUUGCUGACGCUGAGGCUCGAAGGCCGGGGGAGCGAAAGGGAUUAGAUACCCUAGUAGUCC
RNAcentral lists this ribosomal RNA (450 nucleotides) under uncultured bacterium. RNAcentral describes it as "partial 16S ribosomal RNA". It matches the Rfam family "Bacterial small subunit ribosomal RNA", at positions 354 to 796 of the family's 1533-position model. The record is from RNAcentral.